Non-coding RNA from Oncorhynchus mykiss (rainbow trout), 6220 nucleotides. The record is from RefSeq and is a predicted model, not a curated record. Lineage: Eukaryota; Metazoa; Chordata; Actinopteri; Salmoniformes; Salmonidae.
CUCUGUCUCUAGUGUCUCUCUAGUCUGUCUCUCUCACUCUCUCUGUGUGUGUUGGGGUGCUGGUUGCUGCUGUGGGAGGCUCGCUGCCUCCCUAGUCUCUCUCUCUCUCUGUGUGUUGGGGCGCUGGUUGCUGCUGUGGGAGGCUCACUGCCUCCUAAGUUUCUAUUUGUCCAGGGAGGGACUCCUCACUAAAGGAGGAAGCAGGAAGGAACAGUGGGAGGUUUCUAUUUGUCCAGGGAGGGACUCCUCACUAAAGGAGGAAGGAACAGUGGUAGGUUUCUAUUUGUCCAGGGAGGGACUCCUCACUAAAGGAGUAAGGAACAGUGGUAGGUUUCUAUUUGUCCAGGGAGGGACUCCUCACUAAAGGAGGAAGGAACAGUGGGAGGUUUCUAUUUGUCCAGGGAGGGACUCCUCACUAAAGGAGGAAGCAGGAAGGAACAGUGGGAGGUUUCUAUUUGUCCAGGGAGGGACUCCUCACUAAAGGAGGAAGCAGGAAGGAACAGUGGUAGGUUUAUAUUUGUCCAGGGAGGGACUCCUCACUAAAGGAGGAAGCAGGAAGGAACAGUGGUAGGUUUCUAUUUGUCCAGGGAGGGACUCCUCACUAAAGCAGGAAGGAACAGUGGUAGGUUUCUAUUUGUCCAGGGAGGGACUCCUCACUAAAGGAUGAAGGAACAGUGGGAGGUUUCUAUUUGUCCAGGGGGGGACUCCUCACUAAAGCAGGAAGGAACAGUGGUAGGUUUCUAUUUGUCCAGGGAGGGACUCCUCACUAAAGGAGGAAGCAGGAAGGAACAGUGGUAGGUUUCUAUUUGUCCAGGGAGGGACUCCUCACUAAAGGAGGAAGGAACAGUGGGAGGUUUCUAUUUGUCCAGGGAGGGACUCCUCACUAAAGGAGGAAGCAGGAAGGAACAGUGGGAGGUUUCUAUUUGUCCAGGGAGGGACUCCUCACUAAAGGAGGAAGCAGGAAGGAACAGUGGUAGGUUUAUAUUUGUCCAGGGAGGGACUCCUCACUAAAGGAGGAAGCAGGAAGGAACAGUGGUAGGUUUCUAUUUGUCCAGGGAGGGACUCCUCACUAAAGCAGGAAGGAACAGUGGUAGGUUUCUAUUUGUCCAGGGAGGGACUCCUCACUAAAGGAUGAAGGAACAGUGGGAGGUUUCUAUUUGUCCAGGGGGGGACUCCUCACUAAAGCAGGAAGGAACAGUGGUAGGUUUCUAUUUGUCCAGGGAGGGACUCCUCACUAAAGGAGGAAGCAGGAAGGAACAGUGGUAGGUUUCUAUUUGUCCAGGGAGGGACUCCUCACUAAAGGAGGAAGGAACAGUGGUAGGUUUCUAUUUGUCCAGGGAGGGACUCCUCACUAAAGGAGGAAGGAACAGUGGGAGGUUUCUAUUUGUCCAGGGAGGGACUCCUCACUAAAGCAGGAAGGAACAGUGGUAGGUUUAUAUUUGUCCAGGGAGGGACUCCUCACUAAAGGAGGAAGGAACAGUGGUAGGUUUCUAUUUGUCCAGGGAGGGACUCCUCACUAAAGGAGGAAGGAACAGUGGGAGGUUUCUAUUUGUCCAGGGAGGGACUCCUCACUAAAGCAGGAAGGAACAGUGGGAGGUUUCUAUUUGUCCAGGGAGGGACUCCUCACUAGAGGAGGAAGGAACAGUGGGAGGUUUCUAUUUGUCCAGGGAGGGACUCCUCACUAAAGCAGGAAGGAACAGUGGGAGGUUUCUAUUUGUCCAGGGAGGGACUCCUCACUAAAGGAGGAAGGAACAGUGGUAGGCUUCUAUUUGUCCAGGGAGGGACUCCUCACUAAAGGAGGAAGCAGGAAGGAACAGUGGGAGGUUUCUAUUUGUCCAGGGAGGGACUCCUCACUAAAGGAGGAAGGAACAGUGGUAGGUUUCUAUUUGUCCAGGGAGGGACUCCUCACUAAAGGAGGAAGCAGGAAGGAACAGUGGGAGGUUUCUAUUUGUCCAGGGAGGGACUCCUCACUAAAGGAUGAAGCAGGAAGGAACAGUGGUAGGCUUCUAUUUGUCCAAGGAGGGACUCCUCACUAAAGGAGGAAGGAACAGUGGUAGGUUUCUAUUUGUCCAGGGAGGGACUCCUCACUAAAGGAGGAAGCAGGAAGGAACAGUGGUAGGCUUCUAUUUGUCCAGGGAGGGACUCCUCACUAAAGGAGGAAGCAGGAAGGAACAGUGGUAGGCUUCUAUUUGUCCAGGGAGGGACUCCUCACUAAAGGAGGAAGCAGGAAGGAACAGUGGUAGGCUUAUAUUUGUCCAGGGAGGGACUCCUCACUAAAGGAGGAAGCAGGAAGGAACAGUGGUAGGCUUCUAUUUGUCCAGGGAGGGACUCCUCACUAAAGGAGGAAGCAGGAAGGAACAGUGGUAGGCUUCUAUUUGUCCAGGGAGGGACUCCUCACUAAAGGAGGAAGCAGGAAGGAACAGUGGGAGGUUUCUAUUUGUCCAGGGAGGGACUCCUCACUAAAGGAGGAAGCAGGAAGGAACAGUGGUAGGUUUCUAUUUGUCCAGGGAGGGACUCCUCACUAAAGGAGGAAGGAACAGUGGUAGGUUUCUAUUUGUCCAGGGAGGGACUCCUCACUAAAGGAGGAAGGAACAGUGGGAGGUUUCUAUUUGUCCAGGGAGGGACUCCUCACUAAAGGAGGAAGCAGGAAGGAACAGUGGUAGGUUUCUAUUUGUCCAGGGAGGGACUCCUCACUAAAGGAGGAAGGAACAGUGGGAGGUUUCUAUUUGUCCAGGGAGGGACUCCUCACUAAAGGAGGAAGCAGGAAGGAACAGUGGUAGGUUUCUAUUUGUCCAGGGAGGGACUCCUCACUAAAGGAGGAAGCAGGAAGGAACAGUGUGAGGUUUCUAUUUGUCCAGGGAGGGACUCCUCACUAAAGGAGGAAGCAGGAAGGAACAGUGGGAGGUUUCUAUUUGUCCAGGGAGGGACUCCUCACUAAAGCAGGAAGGAACAGUGGGAGGUUUCUAUUUGUCCAGGGAGGGACUCCUCACUAAAGGAGGAAGGAACAGUGGUAGGCUUCUAUUUGUCCAGGGAGGGACUCUUCACUAAAGGAGGAAGCAGGAAGGAACAGUGGGAGGUUUCUAUUUGUCCAGGGAGGGACUCCUCACUAAAGGAGGAAGGAACAGUGGGAGGUUUCUAUUUGUCCAGGGAGGGACUCCUCACUAAAGGAGGAAGGAACAGUGGGAGGUUUCUAUUUGUCCAGGGAGGGACUCCUCACUAAAGCAGGAAGGAACAGUGGGAGGUUUCUAUUUGUCCAGGGAGGGACUCCUCACUAAAGGAGGAAGGAACAGUGGUAGGCUUCUAUUUGUCCAGGGAGGGACUCCUCACUAAAGGAGGAAGCAGGAAGGAACAGUGGGAGGUUUCUAUUUGUCCAGGGAGGGACUCCUCACUAAAGGAGGAAGGAACAGUGGUAGGUUUCUAUUUGUCCAGGGAGGGACUCCUCACUAAAGGAGGAAGCAGGAAGGAACAGUGGGAGGUUUCUAUUUGUCCAGGGAGGGACUCCUCACUAAAGGAUGAAGCAGGAAGGAACAGUGGUAGGCUUCUAUUUGUCCAAGGAGGGACUCCUCACUAAAGGAGGAAGGAACAGUGGUAGGUUUCUAUUUGUCCAGGGAGGGACUCCUCACUAAAGGAGGAAGCAGGAAGGAACAGUGGUAGGCUUCUAUUUGUCCAGGGAGGGACUCCUCACUAAAGGAGGAAGCAGGAAGGAACAGUGGUAGGCUUCUAUUUGUCCAGGGAGGGACUACUCACUAAAGGAGGAAGCAGGAAGGAACAGUGGUAGGCUUAUAUUUGUCCAGGGAGGGACUCCUCACUAAAGGAGGAAGCAGGAAGGAACAGUGGUAGGCUUCUAUUUGUCCAGGGAGGGACUCCUCACUAAAGGAGGAAGCAGGAAGGAACAGUGGUAGGCUUCUAUUUGUCCAGGGAGGGACUCCUCACUAAAGGAGGAAGCAGGAAGGAACAGUGGGAGGUUUCUAUUUGUCCAGGGAGGGACUCCUCACUAAAGGAGGAAGCAGGAAGGAACAGUGGUAGGUUUCUAUUUGUCCAGGGAGGGACUCCUCACUAAAGGAGGAAGGAACAGUGGUAGGUUUCUAUUUGUCCAGGGAGGGACUCCUCACUAAAGGAGGAAGGAACAGUGGGAGGUUUCUAUUUGUCCAGGGAGGGACUCCUCACUAAAGGAGGAAGCAGGAAGGAACAGUGGUAGGUUUCUAUUUGUCCAGGGAGGGACUCCUCACUAAAGGAGGAAGGAACAGUGGGAGGUUUCUAUUUGUCCAGGGAGGGACUCCUCACUAAAGGAGGAAGCAGGAAGGAACAGUGGUAGGUUUCUAUUUGUCCAGGGAGGGACUCCUCACUAAAGGAGGAAGCAGGAAGGAACAGUGGGAGGUUUCUAUUUGUCCAGGGAGGGACUCCUCACUAAAGGAGGAAGCAGGAAGGAACAGUGGUAGGUUUCUAUUUGUCCAGGGAGGGACUCCUCACUAAAGGAGGAAGGAACAGUGGUAGGUUUCUAUUUGUCCAGGGAGGGACUCCUCACUAAAGGAAGAAGGAACAGUGGGAGGUUUCUAUUUGUCCAGGGAGGGACUCCUCACUAAAGGAGGAAGCAGGAAGGAACAGUGGGAGGUUUCUAUUUGUCCAGGGAGGGACUCCUCACUAAAGGAGGAAGGAACAGUGGUAGGUUUCUAUUUGUCCAGGGAGGGACUCCUCACUAAAGGAGGAAGCAGGAAGGAACAGUGGUAGGCUUCUAUUUGUCCAGGGAGGGACUCCUCACUAAAGGAGGAAGCAGGAAGGAACAGUGGUAGGCUUCUAUUUGUCCAGGGAGGGACUCCUCACUAAAGGAGGAAGCAGGAAGGAACAGUGGUAGGCUUAUAUUUGUCCAGGGAGGGACUCCUCACUAAAGGAGGAAGCAGGAAGGAACAGUGGUAGGCUUCUAUUUGUCCAGGGAGGGACUCCUCACUAAAGGAGGAAGCAGGAAGGAACAGUGGGAGGUUUCUAUUUGUCCAGGGAGGGACUCCUCACUAAAGGAGGAAGCAGGAAGGAACAGUGGUAGGUUUCUAUUUGUCCAGGGAGGGACUCCUCACUAAAGGAGGAAGGAACAGUGGUAGGUUUCUAUUUGUCCAGGGAGGGACUCCUCACUAAAGGAGGAAGGAACAGUGGGAGGUUUCUAUUUGUCCAGGGAGGGACUCCUCACUAAAGGAGGAAGCAGGAAGGAACAGUGGUAGGUUUCUAUUUGUCCAGGGAGGGACUCCUCACUAAAGGAGGAAGGAACAGUGGGAGGUUUCUAUUUGUCCAGGGAGGGACUCCUCACUAAAGGAGGAAGCAGGAAGGAACAGUGGUAGGUUUCUAUUUGUCCAGGGAGGGACUCCUCACUAAAGGAGGAAGCAGGAAGGAACAGUGGGAGGUUUCUAUUUGUCCAGGGAGGGACUCCUCACUAAAGGAGGAAGCAGGAAGGAACAGUGGUAGGUUUCUAUUUGUCCAGGGAGGGACUCCUCACUAAAGGAGGAAGGAACAGUGGUAGGUUUCUAUUUGUCCAGGGAGGGACUCCUCACUAAAGGAAGAAGGAACAGUGGGAGGUUUCUAUUUGUCCAGGGAGGGACUCCUCACUAAAGCAGGAAGGAACAGUGGUAGGCUUCUAUUUGGUCUUCUUCGUAGACGGCUGCUCUUGGUUAACCUCAACCUAAGCCCCAAGAGAAAAUUAUUCAAAUUGUAUUUCCAGUCAUUUUCUGUGGACAUAUGGAUUCAAUCUAUAUCACGUUGUCAUUAUAAACAGUAGUGUUACAGUACGUUACUCCCUGAAUGAAUGAAUCAAGAGGGACAUUUUUCUCUUCCUACUCCACUAGAGCUAUGAAUAAUCUCCACCAAUCAUAGCCGCUUUGCUUUGACUCUGCCAUACACACUCAACCUUGUCAGCACAGUUCAGUAGACCCCAGUAAUACAGUCGGGGGGGGGGGUCACGCGACACCCAACAAGGUCAUGGAUGUAAAGCAAUUGGCAGGCGUAGGUCAUAGAGGUCACGGAGGCGCCCUGAACGCAUUUGGCGCCUUGAAGUCACGUUGUCUUCAUCCAUCAGAUACACAUGCUGGAAUGUGUCUUCUUUAACUAUAUAUAAUUGUGUGUGUGCUUCACUAUAAUUAGCGCGUGCAUAGGUCCUGGACUGGUCCUGUAAUGUAACAUGACUGUAGUCUGACUCCACGCUGCUGAAGGACACUGCUGGCUGCACUAACAUGUAUAU